This 479-nucleotide ribosomal RNA is filed under the name uncultured bacterium. RNAcentral describes it as "SSU rRNA". It matches the Rfam family "Bacterial small subunit ribosomal RNA", at positions 26 to 523 of the family's 1533-position model. The record is from RNAcentral.
AGAACGAACGCUGGCGGCAUGCCUAACACAUGCAAGUCGAACGCUUUUGGGGCUUCGGUCCCAAAGGAGUGGCGCACGGGUGAGUAGCGCGUGGGAACCUGCCCUGGAGUGGGGGAUAACCGAGGGAAACUUCGGCUAAUACCGCAUACGCCCGGUUUACCUCGAAAGGGGGAACCGGGGAAAGAUUUAUCGCUCUAGGAGGGGCCCGCGUCGGAUUAGCUAGUUGGUGGGGUAACGGCCUACCAAGGCUGUGAUCCGUAGCUGGUCUGAGAGGAUGAUCAGCCACACUGGGACUGAGACACGGCCCAGACUCCUACGGGAGGCAGCAGUGGGGAAUAUUGGACAAUGGGCGCAAGCCUGAUCCAGCAAUGCCGCGUGAGUGAUGAAGGCCUUCGGGUUGUAAAGCUCUUUCGCACGCGAGGAUGAUGACGCUAGCGUGAGAAGAAGCCCGGCUAACUUCGUGCCAGCAGCCGCGGUAA